Acinonyx jubatus (cheetah) is the source of this 1523-nucleotide long non-coding RNA. RefSeq lists it as uncharacterized. The record is from RefSeq and is a predicted model, not a curated record. The transcript is spliced from 3 exons. NCBI's taxonomy places the organism in Eukaryota, Metazoa, Chordata, Mammalia, Carnivora, Felidae.
CCUUCAAUAUUCUGGGUUUUUAUCUUUGUAUUUUUUUUAUUUUUGUUUUGCUAAAGAGACUGCUAUUUUGUCAUACAGAAUUCCUACAAUCUGACUUCUGCUGAUUGCAUCUCCAUAGUGAGAUAUAGAAGAAAGACACUGCUGAAAUGCAUCACUGAAGCCUAACCUGGAACUUGUAAGAAUGAGUGCUACCCAGGCAACAAAGAAGAAAGUAAAUGCAAAGACAGUCUUGAAAAAAGUGAAACGAUGUGUCCUCUCUCACUCACCUGAUGCCUAUUCUGAGGUAGACUCAUCUCAGAUUGUUCACUGAGGUCCUCACCAUGAAAAAGGAUAUAACCAGGAAGAGGGCUGUCACCAGGAACCAAAUUGACUGGCACCUUGAUCUUGGACUACCCAACCUCCAGAACUGUGAUAAAUAGAUUUCUGUUGUUUAAGGCAUCCAGACUAUGGUAUCUUGUUUCAACAGCCUGCACUAAGAGUAUGUAUGGUAUGCUACCAUUUAUUUAAGAAAGAGUUGAGUUUGAUAAGUAAGUUCUUUAUAGAUUUUGGAUACUAGCCCUUUAUCUGUAUGUCACUUGCAAAUAUCUUCUCCCAUUCCAUUGGUGUCCUUUCAGUUUUGUUGAUUGUUUCUUUUGCUGUGCAGAAGCUUCUUUUCUUGAUGAGGUCCCAAAAGUUCAUUUUUGCUUUUGUUUCCCUUUUCUCCAGAGACAUGUCUAGUAAGAAGUUGCUGAGGCCAAGGUCAAAGAGGUUGCUUUCUAUUUUCUCCUCUAGGAUUUCGAUGGUUUCCUGUCUCAAAUUUAAGUCUUUCAUCCAUUUUGAGUUUAUUUUUGUGUAUGGGUAAGAAAGUGGUCCAGGUUCAUUCUUAUGCAUGUCGCUGUCCAGUUUUCCCAGCACAAUUUGCUGAAGAGACUGUCUUUUUUCCAUUGAAUACUCUUUACUGCUUUGUCAAAGAUUAACUGGCCAUACCUAUGUGGGUCCAUUUCUGGGUUCUCAAUUCUGUUACAGCGAUCUAAGUGUCUGUUUUAGUGCCAAUAUCAUACUGUCUUACAACUUUGCAAUACAGCUUGAAGUCCGGAAUGGUGAUGCCCCCCCUUUGGUUUUCUUUUUCAACAUUAUUCUGGCUAUUCUGGGUCUUUUCUGGUUUCAUACAAUUUGUAGAAUUGUUUGUUCUAGCUCUGGGAAGAAUGCUGGUGUUAUUUUGAUAGAGACUGCAUUGAAUGUAUAGCUUGCUUUGGGUAGUAUAGACAUUUUAACAAUAUUUAAGAAACAAAACAGAUGAACAUUGGGUAAGGAAAGAAAAAAUAAGAUAAAAACAGAGAGGAAGGCAAACCAUAAGAGACUCUUAAAUACAGAGAAUAAACUUAGGGUUGCUGGAGGGGAGGUGGAUGGAGGCAUGGGCUAAGCAUUAAGAAGGGCACUUGUUAGGAUGAUGAUUGGGUGUUGUAUGUAAGUGAUGAAUCACUGGGUUCUACUCCUGAAAUCAAUACUACACUGUAUGUUAACUAACUUGAAUUUAAACAAAU